UGUAUUGUUGAGACAUGG
RNAcentral lists this small nuclear RNA (18 nucleotides) under Arabidopsis thaliana (thale cress). RNAcentral's name for it is "snRNA_16655". The record is from RNAcentral. Lineage: Eukaryota; Viridiplantae; Streptophyta; Magnoliopsida; Brassicales; Brassicaceae.